RNAcentral lists this ribosomal RNA (329 nucleotides) under uncultured eukaryote. RNAcentral's name for it is "partial 18S ribosomal RNA". It matches the Rfam family "Eukaryotic small subunit ribosomal RNA", at positions 1470 to 1796 of the family's 1831-position model. The record is from RNAcentral.
CCCUUAGAUAUUCUGGGCCGCACGCGCGCUACACUGAUGCAUUCAACGAGUCUAAAACCUGCUCUGAUAGGGGUGGGUAAUCUUUUGAAUGUGCAUCGUGAUUGGGAUAGAUGAUUGCAAUUUUUCAUCUUCAACGAGGAAUGCCUAGUAAACGCAAGUCAUCAGCUUGCAUUGAUUACGUCCCCGCCCUUUGUACACACCGCCCGUCGCUCCUACCGAUUGAAUGAUCCGAUGAAUAUCAUGGAUUGAGGAUGCAAGUAGGUUCGCCUAUCUUCAUCUUCGAGAAGUGAAGUAAAUCUUAUCAUUUAGAGGAAGGAGAAGUCGUAACA